This 245-nucleotide unclassified non-coding RNA is filed under the name Hevea brasiliensis (rubber tree). The record is from RNAcentral. Lineage: Eukaryota; Viridiplantae; Streptophyta; Magnoliopsida; Malpighiales; Euphorbiaceae.
UAAACUUGAAAGGAUUCCUUCAGAGUGCCUACGUCCAUCCCGUUUUCAAGCACGAUGAAGACGACGUAGAGAUCGAAACUGAUUCUGAAGAUUGGCAGCAGGAGCCAGCACUGGUGCCAACAAAACGGCAGUCACGUAGGAAUACGCCGUUGCCGAGCAAGCACAGCGGUCCAUUAUCAUCUUCACAUUCUGAAGUUGGAGGAAUUUCAUAACAUUCAGAAAUGGUGUUAUAGAGAAGAAAAAGG